Triticum urartu is the source of this 115-nucleotide non-coding RNA. Lineage: Eukaryota; Viridiplantae; Streptophyta; Magnoliopsida; Poales; Poaceae. The record is from Rfam.
GUAGUACUCCCUCCGUCCUAAAAUUUUUGUCUUAGAUUUGUCUAAAUACGGAUGUAUGAUACAUCUGUAUCUAGACAAAUUUAAGACAAGAAUUUUGGGACGGAAGGAGUAUAUG